Molecule: ribosomal RNA, 327 nt
Filed under: uncultured eukaryote
Lineage: Eukaryota
Description: partial 18S ribosomal RNA
Rfam family: Eukaryotic small subunit ribosomal RNA
Source: RNAcentral
CCCUUAGAUGUUCUGGGCCGCACACGCGCUACACUGAAGGAGGCAGCGUGUACUCCUGGAUCGAAAGAUUUGGGUAACCCGCGAAUCUCCUUCGUGCUAGGGAUUGAGGUUUGCAAUUAUCCUUCAUGAACGAGGAAUUCCCAGUAAGUGCAAGUCAUAAGCUUACGCUGACUACGUCCCUGCCCUUUGUACACACCGCCCGUCGCUACUACCGAUUGAAUGAUUUAGUGAGGACUUCGGACUGGGACCGAUGCGGCUUUCGGGCUGCGUCGGUAUUCUGGAAAGAUGCCCAAACUGUAUCAUUUAGAGGAAGUAAAAGUCGUANCA